Molecule: non-coding RNA, 23 nt
Filed under: Arabidopsis thaliana (thale cress)
Lineage: Eukaryota; Viridiplantae; Streptophyta; Magnoliopsida; Brassicales; Brassicaceae
Source: RNAcentral
GCCACCUUGAUUGUUGAUGUAGC